RNAcentral lists this transfer RNA (84 nucleotides) under Candidatus Roizmanbacteria bacterium CG10_big_fil_rev_8_21_14_0_10_45_7. RNAcentral describes it as "tRNA-Leu". It matches the Rfam family "tRNA". Rfam says of the family: Transfer RNA (tRNA) molecules are approximately 80 nucleotides in length. Their secondary structure includes four short double-helical elements and three loops (D, anti-codon, and T loops). Further hydrogen bonds mediate the characteristic L-shaped molecular structure. tRNAs have two regions of fundamental functional importance: the anti-codon, which is responsible for specific mRNA codon recognition, and the 3' end, to which the tRNAs corresponding amino acid is attached (by aminoacyl-tRNA synthetases). tRNAs cope with the degeneracy of the genetic code in two manners: having more than one tRNA (with a specific anti-codon) for a particular amino acid; and 'wobble' base-pairing, i.e. permitting non-standard base-pairing at the 3rd anti-codon position. RNAcentral also lists the same sequence under 1 other name. Lineage: Bacteria; Candidatus Roizmaniibacteriota. The record is from RNAcentral.
GCCAGAGUGGCGGAAUUGGCAGACGCGCACGGUUUAGGGCCGUGUUUCCGUAAGGAAGUGUGGGUUCAAGUCCCACCUCUGGCA